AUCCAGCUGACGAGUCCCGAAUAGGACGAUACGCGCGUCCUGGAU
Molecule: non-coding RNA, 45 nt
Organism: Schistosoma mansoni
Lineage: Eukaryota; Metazoa; Platyhelminthes; Trematoda; Strigeidida; Schistosomatidae
Source: Rfam